UAAACUAGGAUUAGAUACCCUAUUAUUUUGAAUGUAAAUUUAUACUUAUGGUAUUAAUAGUUAUGAUCUUUAAAUUAAAAGGAUUUGACGGUAAUUUGAUCAUUUUAGAGGAACCUGUUCUGUAAUUGAUAAUCCACGAUAAAUUUUACCUUAAUUAUUAGUUUAUAUAUCUCUGUCUGUUGAGUGUUUUAUUAGAAUGAUUCUCUUGUAUUUCUAUUUAUUAAAAAUUUAUGUCAGGUCAAGGUGUAGCUAUAUUAAGGGUUGAAAUGGGUUACAUUGAUUUAUAAUUUUGGAUUGAUAUAUUUAUGUAUUUUCAUGAAAUAGGAUUUAAUUGUAAUGUUUAUUAUA
Molecule: ribosomal RNA, 348 nt
Filed under: Strombosoma impicta
Lineage: Eukaryota; Metazoa; Arthropoda; Insecta; Hemiptera; Thyreocoridae
Description: partial 12S ribosomal RNA
Source: RNAcentral